This is a non-coding RNA of Parasteatoda tepidariorum (common house spider), 527 nucleotides long. Lineage: Eukaryota; Metazoa; Arthropoda; Arachnida; Araneae; Theridiidae. The record is from RefSeq and is a predicted model, not a curated record.
UUGAAAUUCUUUGUUAUAAAUAUGUGCUGUUAAUGUUUCUAGUUUUAAAUGGUGGAUUUUACGUAUCAAAGGAUAAAUUCUAAUAUGUUGUCUUUAUAGGUUUAUUGAUGAAGAACUCUUUAAAUUUGGAAUGUUAACGGAACCAACCAUGCAUGAAUGUAUAAUGAGGUUGCUCUCGCAGGGAGAUGAAGAAUCACUUGAGUGUUUGAGUAACUUACUAAAAACGAUAGAAAGUUAUUUCACACAAAUGCAAAAUAUUAGACAAACAUUUAAACAAUUCUAAGGUCAAAUUUAAGUAGCAAGAAGUUACAGUUUUAAAAAGGGCUCAUAUACUAACUUCCAAGAUCACUUUUUGCCCACUUUUGCACAAAGAGGAGUACCUAGAAUGACUUUAGUAGCAUGUAUGGUCAAGUCAACUUGCAAGCAGUUUCCAGAAGGGUCAUUUGAAAUUGUUUGUAAAUUUGGUUUUGCAAAUAUAACUAUAAAAGUUUUAUUUUAAUGGCAAUAACUUAGCCAUUUUUAAAAGU